This 253-nucleotide ribosomal RNA is filed under the name uncultured bacterium. RNAcentral describes it as "partial 16S ribosomal RNA". It matches the Rfam family "Bacterial small subunit ribosomal RNA", at positions 524 to 776 of the family's 1533-position model. The record is from RNAcentral.
GACGUAGGAGGCGAGCGUUAUCCGGAUUCACUGGGCGUAAAGCGCAUGUAGGCGGCUGGGCAAGUCCGUUGUUAAAGCCCCUGGCUCAACUGGGGGAGGCCAAUGGAGACUGUUCGGCUUGAGGACAGCAGAGGAGCGUGGAACUCCCGGUGUAGCGGUGGAAUGCGUAGAGAUCGGGAAGAACACCAGUGGCGAAGGCGGCGCUCUGGGCUGUGCCUGACGCUGAGAUGCGAAAGUGUGGGGAGCGAACGGG